This 251-nucleotide ribosomal RNA is filed under the name uncultured prokaryote. RNAcentral's name for it is "partial 16S rRNA". It matches the Rfam family "Bacterial small subunit ribosomal RNA", at positions 525 to 775 of the family's 1533-position model. The record is from RNAcentral.
ACGGAGGGUGCAAGCGUUAUUCGGAAUUACUGGGCGUAAAGAGCAUGUAGGCGGAUAGGCAAGUCUGAUGUGAAAGCCCGGGGCUUAACCCGGGAACUGCAUUGGAAACUGUGGGACUUGAGUACGGGAGAGGAUGGGGGAAUUCCCGGUGUAGAGGUGAAAUUCGUAGAGAUCGGGAGGAAUAUCAGUGGCGAAGGCGCCCAUCUGGACGGUAACUGACGCUGAGACGCGAAAGCGUGGGGAGCAAACAG